This 253-nucleotide ribosomal RNA is filed under the name uncultured bacterium. RNAcentral describes it as "partial 16S ribosomal RNA". It matches the Rfam family "Bacterial small subunit ribosomal RNA", at positions 524 to 776 of the family's 1533-position model. The record is from RNAcentral.
UACGGAGGAUUCAAGCGUUAUCCGGAUUUAUUGGGUUUAAAGGGUGCGUAGGCGGUCGGAUAAGUUAGAGGUGAAAUCCCGGGGCUCAACUUCGGAAUUGCCUCUGAUACUGUUCGGCUAGUGAGUAGUUGCGGUAGGCGGAAUGUAUGGUGUAGCGGUGAAAUGCUUAGAGAUCAUACAGAACACCGAUUGCGAAGGCAGCUUACCAAGCUACUUCUGACGUUGAGGCACGAAAGCGUGGGGAGCAAACAGG